Molecule: non-coding RNA, 85 nt
Filed under: Salinibacillus kushneri
Lineage: Bacteria; Bacillati; Bacillota; Bacilli; Caryophanales; Bacillaceae
Description: GEMM cis-regulatory element
Rfam family: c-di-GMP-I-GGC riboswitch aptamer
Source: RNAcentral
AUCAGACAAAGGCAAACCUAUUGAAAGAUAGGGACGCAAAGCCACAGGUCUUAUGUAUAAUAGUAAAGAUGGCUGGGCUGCCUGA